UACGGAGGGGGCUAGCGUUGUUCGGAAUUACUGGGCGUAAAGCGCACGUAGGCGGACUGGAAAGUCAGGGGUGAAAUCCCGGGGCUCAACCCCGGAACUGCCCUUGAAACUCCCAGUCUUGAGGUCGAGAGAGGUGAGUGGAAUUCCGAGUGUAGAGGUGAAAUUCGUAGAUAUUCGGAGGAACACCAGUGGCGAAGGCGGCUCACUGGCUCGAUACUGACGCUGAGGUGCGAAAGCGUGGGGAGCAAACAGG
RNAcentral lists this ribosomal RNA (253 nucleotides) under uncultured bacterium. RNAcentral's name for it is "partial 16S ribosomal RNA". It matches the Rfam family "Bacterial small subunit ribosomal RNA", at positions 524 to 776 of the family's 1533-position model. The record is from RNAcentral.